CGGGUGAGUAUAAUGUGGGAAUCUGCCUUUUGGUCUGGAAUAACACGAGGAAACUUGUGCUAAUACCGGAUAAGCCUUCACAGGGAAAGUUUUAAUGCCAAAAGAUGAGCCCGCACUUGAUUAGCUAGUUGGUAAGGUAAUAGCUUACCAAGGCAACGAUCAAUAGCUGUUCUUAGAGGAAGACCAGCCACAUUGGGACUGAGACACGGCCCAAACUCCUACGGGAGGCAGCAGUGGGGAAUCUUGCACAAUGGGGGAAACCCUGAUGCAGCGAUGCCGCGUGAGUGAAGAAGGCCUUUGGGUUGUAAAACUCUUUCGUCGGGGAAGAAAAUGACUGUACCCGAAUAAGAAGGUCCGGCUAACUUCGUGCCAGCAGCCGCGGUAAUACGAAGGGACCUAGCGUAGUUCGGAAUUACUGGGCUUAAAGAGUUCGUAGGUGGUUAAAAAAGUUGAUGGUGAAAUCCCAAGGCUCAACCUUGGAACUGCCAUCAAAACUUUUUAGCUA
RNAcentral lists this ribosomal RNA (505 nucleotides) under uncultured Pelagibacterales bacterium. Its description in RNAcentral is "bacterial SSU rRNA". It matches the Rfam family "Bacterial small subunit ribosomal RNA", at positions 103 to 643 of the family's 1533-position model. Lineage: Bacteria; Pseudomonadati; Pseudomonadota; Alphaproteobacteria; Candidatus Pelagibacterales. The record is from RNAcentral.